This 87-nucleotide transfer RNA is filed under the name bacterium. Its description in RNAcentral is "tRNA-Ser". It matches the Rfam family "tRNA". Rfam says of the family: Transfer RNA (tRNA) molecules are approximately 80 nucleotides in length. Their secondary structure includes four short double-helical elements and three loops (D, anti-codon, and T loops). The record is from RNAcentral. RNAcentral also lists the same sequence under 1 other name.
GGUGAGGUGGAUGAGAGGCUGAAAUCAACUCACUGCUAACGAGUCAAGCUGUAACAGGCUUCGUGGGUUCGAAUCCCACCCUCACCG